This is a long non-coding RNA of Diabrotica virgifera virgifera (western corn rootworm), 7314 nucleotides long. RefSeq lists it as uncharacterized. The record is from RefSeq and is a predicted model, not a curated record. NCBI's taxonomy places the organism in Eukaryota, Metazoa, Arthropoda, Insecta, Coleoptera, Chrysomelidae. The transcript is spliced from 2 exons.
GAUGGAUUUCUACUACAAUAUUUUAUAAAAAAUAUCCAUUAAUUUUAAUCCUAUCCCAAGAAAAAUAUUAAUUUUUCUAAUAUAUUUUGCGAGUUUAUAUAUCUUUAAAAUUUCUAAGCCGCUCCUGUUCGCAUUGUAAAGGUUAGGAAAUUUCCUAUUUAUUUGUGUAGCAAUAACCAACUACGUAGAUUGUUAUUGAAAACAUCCAUUAUUCGAGAAUGAAUCCUCUAAAAGGUUCAGUGUUUUUCCUUUAAGUUUUGAGCGCUAAAAAUCCCAUGUUAUUAUUGGUCUGCAUUUUGAAAGAUCCUUGAGUUGUAGUUGACGAUUGGUCAAUAGUUUUGGCCGAACGAUCGAGAAGAAAUGCAUCGUUUGGACGCGAGAGAGACGUGACGAUGUAAAGUUAGUUCUAAAAGUACAUCACUUCAGUAAACAUCUUUUUGUUAGAACUCAACCAACAGACUCGUAGAAAGUCGCACUUUGCCGGCAAAAUGGUUUUAUUUUUAUGGUAAAAGAAGUGAAAGACUGGCAGUUUGCCCAGUAAAUGUCAACGAAUAUAAUGACAAUAGUUUCACGGCAUUUUAAUGGAUAUAUUAUUGUGAAACAGUUCUAUUGUUAUGCAGUUAGAUUUGCCGGUGGUAUAAAAAAGAAGUGCGUGGUUUCCUGGUUCCUGUCCUUUAUGUAGCUGUUGCUAUUUUUAUGAUAUAUGGAUUUGUUCAUGUUCCAGUAAGAAAUGCCCGGAUGAUAUUAUUUGGUAUCGAUUUUAUCCAGUUUUGUAAUGAUUUGAAUAUCUUCCCCUCCCAGCCCCGUCUGAAUGGAAAAUUUUGAAGUUCCAAGUGUUGUGACAUGGAUUUUUGUUUUAACAAGGUAUGAUAAUGUUUAUUUUAAAUAAUUCACAAGUGGAUAUUAUUGGUAAAGGUUUUACAUAAUUAAAAAUGUUUGUUUUCAACAUGGAAAAUAUAUUAUGUAAAGUAAAUAUUAGAUGGCAGUGACAUUUGACAGCCAUGUCAAAUUUUUGUUUUGGUACACUGCUAAAAAUAAGGUUAAAAAUUGUAAAAUCAUGUAUUUUGUUAUUAUUAUUCAUUUCUGGUUUGAGAAUGUGUCUAUUCUCAAUAAAAAUAAAAAGGUAUUAAGGUUUAAAUAAACAUUAUAAAAUGUACACAUCUUUAUUUCUGUAACCUCUUUAUUUAAGAAAAUUAUUAACAGAUAUCUAAUACAAGUGAAUAAGUUUUAGAACAGAAGAAAAUAUAAUGGCAUAGAAGCCAAAUGAUGAUAAUUUGUAGCCCACUAUAACCCCAAUGAGGAAUCUACGAUGAAUGUCCCCCAGUUUCUUUCCAGUAAGUACUCGAUAUGAGAAUUUGAGGAUUUUUCAAACGGCGUCCCAAUUUGUUUAAAUAGUAGGAAAGUCCUCAAGUCUGUGUAAGUAUCCUUUGCUUAUUUGGUUAUGUAGUUUAGUCUUCUUUAAACCCUCCUACCCCUCCCAACGAAUCUACGACCUGCCACCGCACAAAAAAUGAGCUGCCGUUCGCAUGAAGGUUUGCGUGUCUGUUCCUUCUGCUAGCCCCAUUUCGACUCCCCAGUAUCUCUAUAGAUAGUCUUUCCUUGAUCCCAUUAGAGCAGACAGGUAAAACGCUUCAACUGGCGCCCAACGUGUGAGGCCGAUUCAUUUUUCUGCCUCCUUCAGUAUCCAGUAGUUGUCUUGUCCAGUUGAAUGCUUCAGCUGGCCCCGACAACGUGGGGCGUGUUAUUUCUACCCCCUGACCCCAUUAGCAUGUGCCCACUACCAUAUCCCUUUAGCCUCCUUUCGGUCUCAUUUGUACUACAACUGUUAGGCAGUGCCCGUCUUGGGUAGCCGAUCUCAGUUUGUGGUGCAAGUGUUUCCGAUAACAUGGAAGCUCGACUCUUGUCAUUUUUUGUAUGCCCAUUGUUACAAGUCUAGCUUGUAGACAUGUUCAACUAGUAGUUAGCCUAUCUACUAGUCCCCAAUGUCUUUAGCCACUCCCACUUAGUGUUACACUUGUAAUACUUGUAACGUACACCCUGAAGUUUGACCCGAGUAAAUAUCGCCCAAGUCUUCCCAUGUAGUUUAGCCCAGAUUCCUCUUGUCUUGCCCCCAGAAACUGUUUCAUGUCUGUUAGUGCCCCCGAAACUGUUUCAGUCUGUUAGUCCCCAUGAAAGAGCCCAUUUUUGUAGUUUUUGUUGCAGAAUGUUAAUAAUUUUUCCAAAGAGGUGUAAGUAUGUACACAUUUUGUUGUGAUGUUGAUUUGGUCAUGCUGUUGAUUGUAUAGGCAUGUACCAUUUCAUACAUCAUAGUGUAUUUAACUUGUAACCCCAUAUGUAUACUGGUAUUGUAUUGUAUUGUAUGUAUCGUACAAGAGAAUAGUAUGUUUAAUAUAGUAGCGUACUUACUAUAUUGUAUUGAUAUUGUACCCAUGAUGAAAGCAUUGGUUAAAUUUUUUGGAAAAUAUUGAUGAAUUAUAUAGACAUAGACAAACAGAUGAGUAAAAAAUAAAGUAUAAAAUUUUUUUUAGAAAAUUUUGGUAAAAAAAGUAACGUUAAAAAUUUUUUUUAAAAUUUUGCUAAAAGUUACAAUUAAAAUGUUUAGAAUAUUGAAUCCACUUAUAGAGUAUAACAAUAUGUUAUAUUUUUUUGCAUGUAUUCUUGUAGAUCAUCAGUUUUUUACAGAAUAAACGUUUUUUGUGAUUAUUGAUUUGGUCGUUUGAGUAGAUGUGUGAUAAUUGUUGGUAUGGUCCGUGUAUGAGCUUAGCCCCGUAUAGUCUGUGUGAGAGUAGUCCCUUGUUUUUCCAGCGAAGCCUAUCUCUGUUGGUGUAUGUCAUGCCACAGGUUAGUUGGAGAAGUCAUCCCAUUGAGAAGUCAUCCCCUUGAGAAGUAGCCCCGUGAAGAAGUGAAGAGGGAAACCGUGGAGAGGCCCCCCACUUCUGUGUUUUUUUCAAGCAGCCAGGAGAAAAGCUGUCACUUUUAGAUUUGAAGAUAGCGUUCUCUGUCGACACUGUUUGAGAAUAACUGUCUUGAAGUGUAGAAGUUAGCCCCUGAAAAAGCCCCCCCCUUGUCUGUGUUGCCCCUUGUUUUUUUUUUUUUUUUUUUUUGACUAAUCUAUCUUUGUAGGUGUCAAAAGGAUGCCAGAGGUUAGUUAAAAAGAGCCCGUGAAGUAGUAGUUGAAGUUUCCCCCCAGUGAAGUAGUUGAAGUCCCCCCGUGAAUGAAGUAUGUCUUUUUGUAUCUGACAUGUCACAAGUGUAAUACUCGUGAUGAAGGAAGUGUUGUUCAGCUAUCUGUGAACACUUUCAUUAGUAGUCGGAGCAAGAAAUGUCUUAUCCCGUGUGAGCUCAUAUAGGAACCAAAUUUCAAUAUUGUUUGUGUUUGUAAGCCCCUGAGUAUAUCUAGAAGUCAAAAAGUAUGUUGUUGUCUGUUUGUUUGUCUAUCCCUGUUUUGUCUGGAAGUUUUAGAGCCCAUUGUCUGUUGUCCCGUGUUGUCUAUUAGCCCGUGUUGUCUAUUAGCCCGUGUUGUCUAUUAUCCCGUGUUGUCUAUUAGCCCGUGUUGUCUAUUAGCCCGUGUUGUCUAUUAGCCCGUGUUGUCUAUUAGCCCGUGUUGUCUGUUAGCCCGUGUCCGUGCUGGAGUUUGAUUUUUUUUUGGCGAAUAGUUAGUUGACCUCUCUUCUCUUUGUUGAUUGAAAGUAGGCCAAGAGCAGAAGCUGUGACAAGGCUGGUGAGGUUAGGAUCUGGCCGCGUUGAGUACAGGUGAAGCUUGCUUUCGGUCGAUAAAUGGAAGCGGUUGUUCGUCAGAACUGUCAUACUUUCCAAUGUCCCUUUGGUCUUCCCCUUGCGUGUUGCUUUCAUCCCCUGUUUUGAAAAAGUAGCCCCCCGUUUUGAAAAAUAAAGUCCACCCCCAGUCUUGAGAAAUGAAAUGCCCCCAGUUUUGAAAAGUAAGUCUAUCCCCAGUUUUGAAAAGUAAAGCCCAACCCCCCUGUCUUGAAAAAUGAAGUCUAUCCCCUGUUUCGAAAAGUGAAGUGUAACCCUGUUUUGAAAAUGAAGUCUUUCCCCAGCUUGUGAUUUGAAAAUGAGAGAGUUGUCUAGUGAACGUUCAUGAAAGGUUCUUAUGUCCUGGAUUGGACUGUUGAUUGAAAACGUAAUGAUGUAGUGUUCUCUAUAUCAUAUGUUGCGUUCAUUUCCCUUAGUCUUGUUUAAAAAGUUUGAUAUCCUGUUUGAACCCAGUAUACUAGUCUUUUUGGUCUUUUGUUGUUGUCACACAUACCCCCUCCCCCUUGUUAGUCUUGUUUUGAUUUUAGCCCUUGUUGUUGUCAUAUACCCCUUUGUCUAGCCCUGUCUUGUUUGAAUGAGUUGUUGAAGUAAGUUGUUGGUGAGAUUUUGUCUCACUGAGGUGUUUAGACUGGAUUGUCUAAAUCCUCGUUUUGCAGAACCGUUGCCGAAAUGUCCCGUGAAACUCGCUAGGUGUUAGCAGAGUUUGGGCAGAUGUUUAUCUGUCAAACAUCAACUUUUUAGUUUUUGUGAACCGCUCGCGGUUAGGCAACGAGGUGACAAGGCUGUGUCUGCCCUGGUAUGUCACUUGUGUUACUGCUGUGGAUGUCAGCGAGGUCCACACAGGGCACAAGUUUAGUUUCUUUCCCAGGGCACAGAAACUCUUGUCACCUACAGUUCUUAUUAGAGUCUUAACAUUUAAGUCUACUCGACUUUAAAGAGUCUGGCGAUUGAUGGCACGCUAGCCCAUUCCCUAAUGAUGUUUUGUUUUUGUUUAAUCCCCAUUAGCCAUUAUUUAAAUAUUUUGGUAUUGUUGUCCUGUCACACCCAAGAAGUCAAUGUUGGAUUUUUGUAGUUAUCGAAAACUGAAUUGGUAAUCCAGUUUCCUCUCUUCCGAGGAGGCUAUUGUAGCAGAUGGAUUUCUACUACAAUAUUUUAUAAAAAAUAUCCAUUAAUUUUAAUCCUAUCCCAAGAAAAAUAUUAAUUUUUCUAAUAUAUUUUGCGAGUUUAUAUAUCUUUAAAAUUUCUAAGCCGCUCCUGUUCGCAUUGUAAAGGUUAGGAAAUUUCCUAUUUAUUUGUGUAGCAAUAACCAACUACGUAGAUUGUUAUUGAAAACAUCCAUUAUUCGAGAAUGAAUCCUCUAAAAGGUUCAGUGUUUUUCCUUUAAGUUUUGAGCGCUAAAAAUCCCAUGUUAUUAUUGGUCUGCAUUUUGAAAGAUCCUUGAGUUGUAGUUGACGAUUGGUCAAUAGUUUUGGCCGAACGAUCGAGAAGAAAUGCAUCGUUUGGACGCGAGAGAGACGUGACGAUGUAAAGUUAGUUCUAAAAGUACAUCACUUCAGUAAACAUCUUUUUGUUAGAACUCAACCAACAGACUCGUAGAAAGUCGCACUUUGCCGGCAAAAUGGUUUUAUUUUUAUGGUAAAAGAAGUGAAAGACUGGCAGUUUGCCCAGUAAAUGUCAACGAAUAUAAUGACAAUAGUUUCACGGCAUUUUAAUGGAUAUAUUAUUGUGAAACAGUUCUAUUGUUAUGCAGUUAGAUUUGCCGGUGGUAUAAAAAAGAAGUGCGUGGUUUCCUGGUUCCUGUCCUUUAUGUAGCUGUUGCUAUUUUUAUGAUAUAUGGAUUUGUUCAUGUUCCAGUAAGAAAUGCCCGGAUGAUAUUAUUUGGUAUCGAUUUUAUCCAGUUUUGUAAUGAUUUGAAUAUCUUCCCCUCCCAGCCCCGUCUGAAUGGAAAAUUUUGAAGUUCCAAGUGUUGUGACAUGGAUUUUUGUUUUAACAAGGUAUGAUAAUGUUUAUUUUAAAUAAUUCACAAGUGGAUAUUAUUGGUAAAGGUUUUACAUAAUUAAAAAUGUUUGUUUUCAACAUGGAAAAUAUAUUAUGUAAAGUAAAUAUUAGAUGGCAGUGACAUUUGACAGCCAUGUCAAAUUUUUGUUUUGGUACACUGCUAAAAAUAAGGUUAAAAAUUGUAAAAUCAUGUAUUUUGUUAUUAUUAUUCAUUUCUGGUUUGAGAAUGUGUCUAUUCUCAAUAAAAAUAAAAAGGUAUUAAGGUUUAAAUAAACAUUAUAAAAUGUACACAUCUUUAUUUCUGUAACCUCUUUAUUUAAGAAAAUUAUUAACAGAUAUCUAAUACAAGUGAAUAAGUUUUAGAACAGAAGAAAAUAUAAUGGCAUAGAAGCCAAAUGAUGAUAAUUUGUAGCCCACUAUAACCCCAAUGAGGAAUCUACGAUGAAUGUCCCCCAGUUUCUUUCCAGUAAGUACUCGAUAUGAGAAUUUGAGGAUUUUUCAAACGGCGUCCCAAUUUGUUUAAAUAGUAGGAAAGUCCUCAAGUCUGUCCAUUUGGGGAGAAAUAUUAGAACCUCCCAUGUAAAUCCUUCAACCACCUGGAAGGCGUCGAUUCCAGCCACGACCACAGCCAAGUCACUAUUGGGGUUUUGGGAACAAGCUUUUUGGGAGCAUUCCAGCUCCUUUUCGUCCUGCCACCUGGGCCUACGGAGGGCAUGGGGGCGCAUCAUCCUGAUGCUCAUUUCUGAGGAUGCAGCAGCAGCCUCUUUAGGAGUCGUUUGGGAACAUUUAGUGUUGUGCAUUAAGUAACUUUUGGUUUUUAUAUUUUAGACAUUUGAUUUAAUGCACCAUGUUAAUUAAUUUUUUUUCCAGAUUUAGUUUACCUCUGGUUUUUUUUUUAAUAUGACAUAUUUGUAUAUUAUUGUAUUUGGUUCCCAAACUUUGUAUCUACGGUAACUUCUUGUGCACAGGAAUAAGCCUAGAGAAAAUUAGGUUUUUAAUACUUUAUUAUUGCUUUGAUACUGGUUUAUGUAAUUCGGGUAAAUUUAUUUUGUAAUAUUACUUGCUUGUUUCCCAAAUAUUUUCUUGUUAUUCGCUUUAUUUCGAUUGUUCGGUUAAUUCGUCGUUACUUUAGUUCAUUGCAUUUUCUCGGUUAAUUUAGGUCAUCGUUUCGGUAUUAAUUACUUCAUUACUAUCACUUUAUUCAUUUGUAUAUUUAACUUUAUUUAUUUAUUAUGGUAUUUUCUCUUAGUGAGGCUUGGGCCUAUUUAUUUGUAGUAUUUUCAUCUUUGUCAGUUUCAUUUAGUUGUACGUAGCAGGCGUACUAUAACCAUUUGGUAGAAGACUCAUGUGAGUUGUACCCUAUAUAUUAGUAAGAGGUACUUAUACCUUUAAGUUUUGUAACAGGUAACAUUAUUAUUAUCUCAAAUAUAACUUUUUGUAUAACUUAUGUCAUUUUAGAGUCACAUGAUAUGCACUUUGUGUAACUCAGAGAUUGUCCAAGAUCUAGUAGUUAUUUUAAUAAAUAUUUACUUAUUUUGUUUA